RNAcentral lists this ribosomal RNA (699 nucleotides) under uncultured Agaricales. RNAcentral's name for it is "eukaryotic LSU rRNA". The stretch from base 300 to 453 matches the Rfam family "5.8S ribosomal RNA". Lineage: Eukaryota; Fungi; Basidiomycota; Agaricomycetes; Agaricales. The record is from RNAcentral.
CUUGGUCAUUUAGAGGAAGUAAAAGUCGUAACAAGGUUUCCGUAGGUGAACCUGCGGAAGGAUCAUUAUCGAAAUAAACCUGAGCAGGCUGUUUUGCUGGUCCUCUCAAGGGACAUUGUGCACGCUUGUCGUCUUUAUUUUUCCAACCGUGCACAUAUUGUAGACCUGGAGUUUUUCUUAUCGUUCGAAUAGAUUGAGGACUGCCGUCUCGGCUUUGCCUUGUAUUUUCCAGGUCUAUGUUGCAAACACAUUUUCACAACAUGUCUCAGAAUGUCGAGUACCGGGGAUAACAAAUAUACAACUUUCAGCAACGGAUCUCUUGGCUCUCGCAUCGAUGAAGAACGCAGCGAAAUGCGAUAAGUAAUGUGAAUUGCAGAAUUCAGUGAAUCAUCGAAUCUUUGAACGCAUCUUGCGCUCCUUGGUAUUCCGAGGAGCAUGCCUGUUUGAGUGUCAUCAAAAGUUCUCAACCACACCGGUUUCUCUGGUGUGGCUUGGAUUUGGGGGUUUGCAGGCUUUCAAGUCGGCUCUCCUGAAAAAGAUUAGCGGUAUCUGAGCAGAAACCAAGCCUCGGGCGUGAUAAUUAUCUAUGCCUUGGUGUAUAAUCUGUGUGGGCUGCUUAUAACCGGAGAGUGUUGACAGAUUUGACCUCAAAUCAGGUAGGACUACCCGCUGAACUUAAGCAUAUCAAUAAGCGGAGGA